This 277-nucleotide ribosomal RNA is filed under the name uncultured eukaryote. RNAcentral's name for it is "partial 18S ribosomal RNA". It matches the Rfam family "Eukaryotic small subunit ribosomal RNA", at positions 21 to 274 of the family's 1831-position model. The record is from RNAcentral.
UAGUCAUAUGCUUGUCUCAAAGAUUAAGCCAUGCAUGUCUAAGUAUAAACAAGUUUAUACUGUGAAACUGCGCACAGCUCAUUAUAUCAGCAAUAAUUUAUUUGAUGGUUACUUACUACAUGGAUACCCGUAGUAAUUCUAGAGCUAAUACAUGCGUUAAAGUCCCGACUCCUUUCGGGGGGGAGGGAUGUAUUUAUUAGAUAAAAAACCAAUGGCUUUUUCCGGUAAAACGGAGGAGGUCCUCUUUGGUGAUUCAUAAUAACUGUUCGAAUCGCAU